UAGGGAAUCUUCGGCAAUGGACGAAAGUCUGACCGAGCAACGCCGCGUGAGUGAAGAAGGUUUUCGGAUCGUAAAACUCUGUUGUUAGAGAAGAACAAGGACGUUAGUAACUGAACGUCCCCUGACGGUAUCUAACCAGAAAGCCACGGCUAACUACGUGCCAGCAGCCGCGGUAAUACGUAGGUGGCAAGCGUUGUCCGGAUUUAUUGGGCGUAAAGCGAGCGCAGGCGGUUUCUUAAGUCUGAUGUGAAAGCCCCCGGCUCAACCGGGGAGGGUCAUUGGAAACUGGGAGACUUGAGUGCAGAAGAGGAGAGUGGAAUUCCAUGUGUAGCGGUGAAAUGCGUAGAGAUGUGGAGGAAUACCGGUGGCGAAGGCGGCCCCCUGGACAAAGACUGACGCUCAGGUGCGAAAGCGUGGGGAGCAAACAGG
RNAcentral lists this ribosomal RNA (429 nucleotides) under Chloroflexota bacterium. RNAcentral describes it as "Chloroflexi bacterium partial 16S ribosomal RNA". It matches the Rfam family "Bacterial small subunit ribosomal RNA", at positions 355 to 776 of the family's 1533-position model. The record is from RNAcentral. Lineage: Bacteria; Bacillati; Chloroflexota.